UAUAACGAAAUACUGUUAUUAUAGUUUUAUAUGCUGGUGUUACUUAGAAGGGAGUAUCAAACGUUCUACCCGAAGAGGUAUUGUUCGGUAUCAAUGCGGAUAUAAAAAAAGCGCCUUUCGGCGCUUUUUUU
This 131-nucleotide small RNA is filed under the name Kluyvera ascorbata. RNAcentral describes it as "Enterobacteria sRNA STnc130". It matches the Rfam family "Enterobacteria sRNA STnc130". The record is from RNAcentral. Lineage: Bacteria; Pseudomonadati; Pseudomonadota; Gammaproteobacteria; Enterobacterales; Enterobacteriaceae.